This 616-nucleotide ribosomal RNA is filed under the name uncultured bacterium. Its description in RNAcentral is "bacterial SSU rRNA". The stretch from base 1 to 535 matches the Rfam family "Bacterial small subunit ribosomal RNA", at positions 338 to 873 of the family's 1533-position model. The record is from RNAcentral.
CCUACGGGAGGCAGCAGUAAGGAAUAUUGGUCAAUGGACGAAAGUCUGAACCAGCCAUGCCGCGUGAAGGAUGAAGGUCCUCUGGAUUGUAAACUUCUUUUAUCUGGGACGAAAAAAGGGCAUUCUUGCUCACUUGACGGUACCAGAGGAAUAAGCACCGGCUAACUCCGUGCCAGCAGCCGCGGUAAUACGGAGGGUGCAAGCGUUAUCCGGAUUCACUGGGUUUAAAGGGUGCGUAGGUGGGUUGGUAAGUCAGUGGUGAAAUCUCCGAGCUUAACUCGGAAACUGCCAUUGAUACUAUCAGUCUUGAAUUUUCUGGAGGUAAGCGGGAAUAUGUCAUGUAGCGGUGAAAUGCUUAGAUAUGACAUAGAACACCCAUUGCGAAGGCAGCUUACUACGGGAUAAUUGACACUGAGGCACGAAAGCGUGGGGAUCAAACAGGAUUAGAUACCCUGGCAGUCCACGCCCUAAACGAUGGAUACUCGACAUCAGCGAUACACUGUUGGUGUNUGNGNGAAGAGAUAGUAGUCCGACCGUCGGUAGUACGACGACGAGUUAGUUAAGUUAAGUUAAGUUAGNGNGNGAGACGNGCGACGGACGACGACGAGGGAGGAGG